RNAcentral lists this ribosomal RNA (253 nucleotides) under uncultured bacterium. RNAcentral describes it as "partial 16S ribosomal RNA". It matches the Rfam family "Bacterial small subunit ribosomal RNA", at positions 524 to 776 of the family's 1533-position model. The record is from RNAcentral.
UACGUAGGGGGCAAGCGUUGUCCGGAUUUACUGGGCGUAAAGAGCGUGUAGGCGGCCAGGCAGGUCUGUUGUGGAAACUGGAGGCUUAACCUCCAGACGUCGACAGAAACCGUCUGGCUAGAGUCCGGAAGAGGAGAGUGGAAUUCCUGGUGUAGCGGUGAAAUGCGCAGAUAUCGGGAGGAACACCUAUGGCGAAGGCAGCUCGCUGGGACGUUACUGACGCUGAGACGCGAAAGCGUGGGGAGCGAACAGG